UGGAGGAAAGCAGGGGAUCGUAAGACCUUGCGCUUUUGGAGCGGCCGAUGUCUGAUUAGCUAGUUGGUGGGGUAAUGGCCUACCAAAGCUUCGAUCAGUAGCUGGUCUGAGAGGACGGCCAGCCACACUGGGACUGAGACACGGCCCAGACUCCUACGGGAGGCAGCAGUGGGGAAUUUUGGACAAUGGGCGCAAGCCUGAUCCAGCCAUGCCGCGUGAGUGAAGAAGGCCUUCGGGUUGUAAAGCUCUUUCAGCCGGGAAGAAAAGGCUGCGACUAAUAAUCGCAGUUCAUGACGGUACCGGAAGAAGAAGCACCGGCUAACUACGUGCCAGCAGCCGCGGUAAUACGUAGGGUGCGAGCGUUAAUCGGAAUUACUGGGCGUAAAGGGUGCGCAGGCGGUUUUGUAAGUCAGAUGUGA
Molecule: ribosomal RNA, 419 nt
Filed under: uncultured ammonia-oxidizing beta proteobacterium
Lineage: Bacteria; Pseudomonadati; Pseudomonadota; Betaproteobacteria
Description: bacterial SSU rRNA
Rfam family: Bacterial small subunit ribosomal RNA
Source: RNAcentral